CUCACAUUCACUUUAUCUUUUCUGUCCAUGUUGAACCUCUUUAGUUUCAUCUGAUGUCACUCUGUUGCCCUCCUACAAGGCAUCACUGGCAAGAGCUUGUACUCGUCUCGUUGGUCCUUGUUCAACUGUAGAUCCAGGACAGCAUCACCCCAGGUCUGUUGAUCAGCAUCUGUGUUAUCCCCACUCCCUCCAGAAAUGUCCUUGAUGGCCUUUUGCUUGCAGCUGAUGCCAGGGAGAUUGAAGAUCACCAGAGGCACCAAUGGCAGUGACUGAAGAACCCCAGCAACACUGUCAUACAACAGAAGCACUCUAGCUCAGAGUUAGCAGUUGAGGGUAUAAGACAGUGCCAAGAGGACCUUCCUCAGGGAUCAGAUGUACUCUCUGAAAAUAAAGUAAGGUGGUGUGUUCUGGUGUUAGGUUCAUUGGUUGGGUUUCAUUGUUGUCAUUAUUUUGUACAUAAAGUUAUUUUGGGUCAGAAGCUGAAUGCUUGUAUACUGUGUAAAUGUAUUUGUGAUCAGUUUAAACCUGUUUGUUCUU
This 537-nucleotide long non-coding RNA is filed under the name Gallus gallus (chicken). Its description in RNAcentral is "long non-coding RNA NONGGAT011962". Lineage: Eukaryota; Metazoa; Chordata; Aves; Galliformes; Phasianidae. The record is from RNAcentral.